Molecule: small nuclear RNA, 105 nt
Organism: Vombatus ursinus (common wombat)
Lineage: Eukaryota; Metazoa; Chordata; Mammalia; Diprotodontia; Vombatidae
Source: Ensembl
GUGCUCGCUUUGGCUACACAUAUACUACAAUUGGAAUGAUAAAGAGAAGAUUAGCAUGGCCCCUCCGCAAAGAUGAUACAAAUUCUUGAAGCAUUCCAUAUUUUU